CUUGCUCCCUUAGGUCAGCGGCGGACGGGUGAGUAACACGUGGGUAACCUGCCUGUAAGACUGGGAUAACUCCGGGAAACCGGGGCUAAUACCGGAUGCUUGAUUGAACCGCAUGGUUCAAUUAUAAAAGGUGGCUUUUAGCUACCACUUACAGAUGGACCCGCGGCGCAUUAACUAGUUGGUGAGGUAACGGCUCACCAAGGCGACGAUGCGUAGCCGACCUGAGAGGGUGAUCGGCCACACUGGGACUGAGACACGGCCCAGACUCCUACGGGAGGCAGCAGUAGGGAAUCUUCCGCAAUGGACGAAAGUCUGACGGAGCAACGCCGCGUGAGUGAUGAAGGUUUUCGGAUCGUAAAACUCUGUUGUUAGGGAAGAACAAGUACCGUUCGAAUAGGGCGGUACCUUGACGGUACCUAACCAGAAAGCCACGGCUAACUACGUGCCAGCAGCCGCGGUAAUACGUAGGUGGCAAGCGUUGUCCGGAAUUAUUGGGCGUAAAGCGCGCGCAGGCGGUUUCUUAAGUCUGAUGUGAAAGCCCCCGGCUCAACCGGGGAGGGUCAUUGGAAACUGGGGAACUUGAGUGCAGAAGAGGAGAGUGGAAUUCCACGUGUAGCGGUGAAAUGCGUAGAGAUGUGGAGGAACACCAGUGGCGAAGGCGACUCUCUGGUCUGUAACUGACGCUGAGGCGCGAAAGCGUGGGGAGCGAACAGGAUUAGAUACCCUGGUAGUCCACGCCGUAAACGAUGAGUGCUAAGUGUUAGAAGGUUUCCGCCCUUUAGUGCUGCAGCAAACGCAUUAAGCACUCCGCCUGGGGGAGUACGGUCGCAAGACUGAAACUCAAAGGAAUUUGACGGGGGGCCCCCCACAAUCUGUUGGAACCAAAGUGGUUUUAAUU
Molecule: ribosomal RNA, 898 nt
Filed under: Bacillus licheniformis
Lineage: Bacteria; Bacillati; Bacillota; Bacilli; Caryophanales; Bacillaceae
Description: bacterial SSU rRNA
Rfam family: Bacterial small subunit ribosomal RNA
Source: RNAcentral